RNAcentral lists this ribosomal RNA (250 nucleotides) under uncultured Planctomycetia bacterium. Its description in RNAcentral is "partial 16S ribosomal RNA". It matches the Rfam family "Bacterial small subunit ribosomal RNA", at positions 524 to 772 of the family's 1533-position model. Lineage: Bacteria; Pseudomonadati; Planctomycetota; Planctomycetia. The record is from RNAcentral.
GACGAACCGUGCGAACGUUAUUCGGAAUCACUGGGCUUAAAGCGCGUGUAGGCGGAUGGCCGCGUCGAGUGCUGAAAGCCCCCGGCUCAACCGGGGGACCGGCCUCGAAACGGGCCGUCUGGAGGGGCGUAGGGGGAGCUGGAACUCACGGUGGAGCGGUGAAAUGCGUUGAGAUCGUGAGGAACGCCCGCGGCGAAAGCGAGCUCCUGGACGCCUGCUGACGCUGAGACGCGAAAGCCAGGGGAGCGAA